CUGCUGUAGACUUUUAGCUUCUUCAUUUUUUUUUUUCCUUUAAAUAGAACCAAUUAACUCUUACUUGAAUUUUCCAAAUACAUGAGGUUUCACUACCAUUUUGGAGGAAUGGAGCCAGCGUUUUGAUUGUCACACAUAGACUUUCACUAAUGUAUUUUUCCUCAAAGGCAACUAGAUAUUCAUGUUACUAUUGCUUUUCCUUAGAAACAGAAGUCUCCCGAUCAUAAUUACAGGCUUUGAGCAAAGGCAACAGUAGUGAAGAAACCCGGAGCUCUGUAAACAUUACUGAAGAACCAUGCCAAAUAUAUGCAUAAAUUCAGGUGGCUUAUUAUUACAUCUUGAAAGGACUGGAUAUCUGAGCACUGUCUGACAUUACUUUUGACUUCACUGGAGGUAACCUAGAAGGAGAGAGAUGUCUCAGCAGUUUCUUUAUCAAUCGCCACCUUUGGAUUUAGCCUUCUGUGGUCAUUUUGAAUAGCAAGCAUCUGAGACAGCAAAGGUGGGCGCAACUGCCAAAACCACAACCCACGGUCAAAAGGAUCGUCAUCCAUUUGGGGGUGCUCUACGUGUAUGAAGUUAUUUAAUACUUAUAACAACUUUAUGAGACUCUUCAGAGGUUCCUGCUGGGCCUCCCACUGCUCCAGUGCUUUUGAUGAAGCUAGACUAUUCCCUGCAGCAGUUCCUUUUCCCAUGUUUUGGCCUCUGAGGAUCAACAGUACAGCUCUAUCUUCUUUUUGAUGAGAUCUUUAGUCUCUCUUGCUUCAGGUGCCUGGAUGUUGAGGGGCAAAUAGGACUGUUCACUGAAGGAGCUAGAGAAUGGAAGAGAAGGUUGUGUCAGAUAGAAAUAACAGAAGCUUUCUGAAAUGAAAACAGAAAUGUUACAACUUGCACCACAGUACUGGACUGAAACGAAGAUGUAACACAGCCAUAAUAAUUUAAAUUAAUAGCAAAUAAAUAAAGAAAAAAAGAACUUCAUUGUGAGGACCAUAGUCAUGGGAUAGCUCUGUCUUUUCGGGGAAAGUGGAGUAGAGGGACAGAGUCACCCCAGGAGAAAAAAUGCUUAAAUUAAGACUCCCUGAGAGACUGAAUAAGAGUAUGAUUAGUUCAGCCUUGCUUUCAUCCUCCACUUCCCCCUCCCACUGUAGACUUCAGUUUUAAUAAUGAUUAAAGAAUAAUGCCUGAAUCCCAUCUGAAUGGCUUUUGAGAUUUAACUCACUGAAUCUAUUCAUAGCUUUGAGCUUGUAAGGGGGACUGAACAGAUCUGCACAACUAAUCGUGGAAUAUUACACUGAUACUUCAUCUCCCACAUCAAUACCAAUUACGCCUGCACAGAGAGCAUCACAUAUUAUUUUAAUAGGAUAGGAAUUUUUAAUCCAGUCAGGUAGUUCUGGAUGAAUGUGUUUGUAUGUCUGUCAUUAAAAUUUGGUGGCUCAUGCUGCUCAAGACAGACACAUUUUGAAUGUUUAAAAUUUCCACAGAUGUUAUUUAUCCAUCAGGAUGGAAAAUUUCCUGCUCUCCAGUGUAUAGAUUCUGCCUCAUUAACAUAAAUAAAGAAUAAGGCAUAACAACAACAAUCUUGCUUAAUGUGUACACACAGAAAUAUUGUCAUAGGCAUCUGGCAAUCAGUUGGAGACGGUGAAAACUGCUAAAUGAAUGAAAGUGGCAGAACUAGCAGAAGUAUGAGAUCCCAUACUGGAGAAAAAGGCUCACUGUUAAAAUAUUUUGUUUCUUUGUUCUACUCCUUUUUUAUUUUCAAGGCAUUUUAUUCAGCUUGGACCUUCAGAUAAAAG
This 1790-nucleotide long non-coding RNA is filed under the name Homo sapiens (human). RNAcentral describes it as "HSALNT0092529". Lineage: Eukaryota; Metazoa; Chordata; Mammalia; Primates; Hominidae. The record is from RNAcentral.